UACGUAGGGUGCAAGCGUUGUCCGGAAUUAUUGGGCGUAAAGGGCUCGUAGGCGGUUCGUCACGUCGGGAGUGAAAACUCGGGGCUUAACCCCGAGCCUGCUUCCGAUACGGGCAGACUAGAGGUAGGCAGGGGAGAGCGGAACUCCUGGUGUAGCGGUGGAAUGCGCAGAUAUCAGGAAGAACACCGGUGGCGAAGGCGGCGAUCUGGGAAGAUACUGACGCUGAGGUGCGAAAGCGUGGGGAGCAAACAGG
RNAcentral lists this ribosomal RNA (253 nucleotides) under uncultured bacterium. RNAcentral's name for it is "partial 16S ribosomal RNA". It matches the Rfam family "Bacterial small subunit ribosomal RNA", at positions 524 to 776 of the family's 1533-position model. The record is from RNAcentral.